CCUACGGGUGGCUGCAGUAGGGAAUAUUGCACCAUGGGCGAAAGCCUGAUGCAGCAACGCCGCGUGAGUGAAGAAGGCCUUCGGGUCGUAAAACUCUUUUCAAGGGAAAGAGGAAGGACGGUACCCUUUGAAUAAGCAUCGGCUAACUACGUGCCAGCAGCCGCGGUAACACGUAGGAUGCGAGCGUUAUUCGGAUUUACUGGGCGUAAAGCGCGUGUAGGCGGUUAGGAGAGUUGGAUGUGAAAGCUCCCGGCUUAACUGGGAGAGGUCGUUCAAAACUUCCUGACUAGAGGUUGGUAGAGGAAAAUGGAAUUCCGGGUGUAGUGGUGAAAUGCGUAGAUAUCCGGAGGAACACCAGUGGCGAAAGCGAUUUUCUGGACCGAUACUGACGCUCAGACGCGAAAGCUAGGGUAGCAAACGGGAUUAGAUACCCCAGUAGUC
This 441-nucleotide ribosomal RNA is filed under the name uncultured bacterium. RNAcentral describes it as "partial 16S ribosomal RNA". It matches the Rfam family "Bacterial small subunit ribosomal RNA", at positions 338 to 795 of the family's 1533-position model. The record is from RNAcentral.